UUUUGUGGCUAGGGGUGAAAUUCCAAUCGAACCUGGAGAUAGCUGGUUCUCCCCGAUAUAGUUUUAGGACUAGCGUUAGAAUUAGUGCAAUGGAGGUAAAGCUCUGAAUGUAUGAUGGCCCCACCUCGGGGUACUGAAUGCAAUUAAACUGCGAAUGCCAUUGUUACAUAUCUGGCAGUCAGUCUAUGGGUGAUAAGGUCCAUGGACGUGAGGGAAACAGCCCAGAUCAUCAGCUAAGGUCCCCAAAUCAAUGCUAAGUGGAAAACGAUGUGGAAUUGUUCAGACAGCUAGGAGGUUGGCUUAGAAGCAGCCAUCCUUUAAAGAGUGCGUAACAGCUCACUAGUCGAAUGAUUCUGCGCGGAAAAUGUACCGGGGCUAAGCAUUGUACCGAAGCUAUGAGUCUAUAUAUAUGUUUACAUAUAUUGUGGGCGGUAGGGGAGCGUUCUAAUCUGCGACGAAGUUAGACCGGAAGGACUAGUGGAGCGUUUAGAAGUGAGAAUGCCGGCGUGAGUAACGAUUGAAGGUGAGAAUCCUUCAUGCCGAUUGACCAAGGUUUCCUGGGCUAGGUUCGUCCACCCAGGGUUAGACAAGACCUAAUACGAGGGCUAAAAGCGUAUUCCAUGGACAACAGGUAAA
This 636-nucleotide ribosomal RNA is filed under the name Spiroplasma endosymbiont of Heliconius timareta. RNAcentral's name for it is "bacterial LSU rRNA". It matches the Rfam family "Bacterial large subunit ribosomal RNA", at positions 807 to 1433 of the family's 2925-position model. The record is from RNAcentral. Lineage: Bacteria; Bacillati; Mycoplasmatota; Mollicutes; Entomoplasmatales; Spiroplasmataceae.